RNAcentral lists this ribosomal RNA (495 nucleotides) under uncultured bacterium. RNAcentral describes it as "bacterial SSU rRNA". It matches the Rfam family "Bacterial small subunit ribosomal RNA", at positions 372 to 883 of the family's 1533-position model. The record is from RNAcentral.
UGGGGGAAACCCUGACGCAGCAACGCCGCGUGGAGGACGAAGGUUUUCGGAUUGUAAACUCCUGUCCUCUGGGACGAUAAUGACGGUACCAGAGGAGGAAGCCACGGCUAACUACGUGCCAGCAGCCGCGGUAAUACGUAGGUGGCAAGCGUUGUCCGGAAUUACUGGGCGUAGAGGGCGUGUAGGCGGUACCCUAAGUCAGAUGUGAAAACCCGGAGCUUAACUUCGGAACUGCAUUUGAAACUGGGGAACUCGAGUGUCGGAGAGGAAAGCGGAAUUCCUAGUGUAGCGGUGAAAUGCGUAGAUAUUAGGAGGAACACCAGUGGCGAAGGCGGCUUUCUGGACGAUAACUGACGCUGAGGCGCGAAAGCGUGGGGAGCAAACAGGAUUAGAUACCCUGGUAGUCCACGCUGUAAACGAUGGAUACUAGGUGUGGGAGGUAUCGAACCCUUCCGUGCCGCAGUAAACGCAAUAAGUAUCCCGCCUGGGGAGUAC